Frankliniella occidentalis (western flower thrips) is the source of this 2090-nucleotide long non-coding RNA. RefSeq lists it as uncharacterized. NCBI's taxonomy places the organism in Eukaryota, Metazoa, Arthropoda, Insecta, Thysanoptera, Thripidae. The transcript is spliced from 3 exons. The record is from RefSeq and is a predicted model, not a curated record.
UUAAUUUUGCUAUCGUAGGAGCUUCUGCCCCACUUGGAAGGGCUGAUGUGCAUUUCCUCUUGUGCCGCUUCCCUCCAGUUUUAAGAAAAUUCUCCACCUCGACUGUAAUCUUCUUUUUCCUGGAUGAUCUUCUCACUUCAUCUGCCUAAGAUAUCAGGAAAGUUUUUAAGUAUCAUGCCAGUAAUCAAACAUUUUGUAAUUUUUAAAUAAGACUUAUGUUUUUUACCUGGUUUGUUUCAGAGUUGAAUAAAUUAGCAACAGGCAUUGUUCUCUCACCAGGUGGCGCAUCAUAAAAAUCCACAGAUGACAUAGGAUCAUCAAGUGAAGGAAAGGGUGUAGAAUGGGACAUCAAAGCUGGUAUAUUUUCUGCACUGCCAGAUGUUUGCCAUUGUGUUGGAAUGAACAUGUCCUGGUUAAGAACAAAGGUGAAAAGAAAAAUGUAGAAGAGCCAGCAUUACCACAAAAAGAACUGCUUGGUGUUGUAGGAUCCUGGUUUGUAAAAACACAAUUAAGGGAAUGCAAAGUUCAAACUUAUCAAAGUACAAAGUAGUUAUGUCAUCUUACUAUAUACACUGCUUCAACAGGUAUUUCUUCCAUAGGCUGCAAGGACCAAUAAAGAUAUACUGAAUGACAAUUUGUAAUCUUUUCUUUAACACGCAAUAUUAUAUUUCUCAAAUUAAAAUAAGUUGUACCUCAUUGGCUUGGAUCCGCAAACUUCUUCUCUGGGGAGCGACAUUCUCUUUAUCUUCCUACAAUUAAGACAAAGGAGUGUUAUUCUCAGUGGUAUUCAAUACUAGAAGCUAUCAUAGCAUAUGCGUGUAAAUUAGAUAAUAGAAUUAAGAACUCUGGUCAUGGAAUCUUACCCUUUUCUUCCACCUUUGCUCCCUUUUGUUAUCUCUCCAUUUGGCCCUUGUUUCACUCGAUAUGGUUUGCUUAGCGUAUCUGGCCCUAUCACCUUCUCUACGUUUUCGAAUAAACUCUGGAUCAUUCUUUUUUUUAGCCCUAUAAUUGCGCAUCUUCUCAGCAUUUUUUUGCUUGCUAUUCAUUUUUGCAGCAGCUGCCAAUAUGAAAAACCAAACACCUGCCAUUAAUUAUGCAACUAUUUUUAGAGAAUUUAAUUAUAUCUUAAAUCAGGGAAUGUAAAUUAUGGUAGCCAGCAUGCCUGCCCAAUGAACAGGAAAAACUCACUUUCAGUCAUUUGACUGUUUUUGACUGUCAAAGUGAGUCUCUUUCUGCCUAAAAAUUUGACUAGCAAGUGAUACUAGCUUGAUGUCAAAUGACUUAAAGUGAGUCUUUUGUGUUUAAUGGAUGUGCUGUGCUGAACAAGGUAAAAUGAAAUGAACGAUUUAUGGUUUUUAUACUUUAAAUAUCUUACAAAACGUAACAGGUUAAGAAGCAUGUGACCAGGGACAGACUUCUUUGUCAGUUCAGAAAUUGACAAACUAAAGAUAAGUGAUAUACUGUGUUUCCAAAGAAGGCCCUCUCUCAAGGUUUCCUCAUACUGUAGUGCAAACUAUUAUGAAAAUUACAAAUAGACAAAACUUACCCACACGGCGAGAGAAAAGGAACAUCAACGGCUGCGGCUGCGUUGUGAUUUGAACAUCGCCCACUAUUCCUCCCUCGCUUAUGAUUGGUCGACGCCCGGACCACCAGGUGGCGCCAUCUCUUGAUAGUUGUCACAGUUGCACGGCGUGAGAAGUGGUUCGUGUUAUGGUCGCUAGACUGGCGCUGUUUGUACAGCGGACUGUGGGGAGAGGGCGACUUAAAUAUGCAACUGUAUUAUUCGUGUGAGUGUGACUUCUCUAAAACUGUAUGUCCUCCCUGUAACCAUCCACGCCUUCCGAGUGCCUCCUUAACCCCACUUUCUCAAUUAGUGUCCUCCCUGUAACCCGAUGACCUGUUUUAACCACCCACGUCCCCCGUGUACCGUGUUUACUCUCCAAUGUCCUCUGUGUAGCCAAAAUGUCCUUCUUGUACCCAAAAUGUCCUUCUUGUAACCAAAAUGUCCUCCCUGCACCGUUUCUCCUUCCCUUCACCCGCCAGUGUCCUCCGUGUAACCCCAAUGUCCUCUGUGUAACCUCCUUGUCCCC